This 386-nucleotide ribosomal RNA is filed under the name uncultured bacterium. RNAcentral's name for it is "bacterial SSU rRNA". It matches the Rfam family "Bacterial small subunit ribosomal RNA", at positions 29 to 416 of the family's 1533-position model. The record is from RNAcentral.
AUUAAACGCUGGCGGCAUGCCUUACACAUGCAAGUCGAACGGCAGCACGGGGGCAACCCUGGUGGCGAGUGGCGGACGGGUGAGUAAUACAUCGGAACGUGCCCUGGAGUGGGGGAUAACGUAGCGAAAGUUACGCUAAUACCGCAUAUUCUGUGAGCAGGAAAGCAGGGGAUCGCAAGACCUUGCGCUCUGGGAGCGGCCGAUGUCGGAUUAGCUAGUUGGUGGGGUAAAGGCCUACCAAGGCGACGAUCCGUAGCGGGUCUGAGAGGAUGAUCCGCCACACUGGGACUGAGACACGGCCCAGACUCCUACGGGAGGCAGCAGUGGGGAAUUUUGGACAAUGGGCGAAAGCCUGAUCCAGCCAUGCCGCGUGAGUGAAGAAGGCC